UAUAAAAUGUUCCCCAUAACACUUUUGAUACUGUUUUUAAUUUUAAAACAAACAAAUAGUAAUCUUUUACCAUCUUGCUUUAGCAAUGUUAACUUUACAGUAUACAGAGGCUAUGAUGAGAUUGUUCUACAACCAGAUAUAAUUAACCAAGAACAUCAUGAAGUUACAGAAAUAACUGUUGAAGAUCAAAAAAUACCUUUUCUUCAGACUGGUUGCUUCAAGAAGUUACCUAAGCUACAGUAUAUCACUAUUAAAAAAUGUGGUGUGCGCAUCAUUUAUCCAGGUGCAUUUGACGAUUUAUCAAGUUUGAAGAUCUAUUUAAUUCAAACUUUGACACAGAAGGACCAAUUAUAGAUCUAACAACGAACAAUUUGACUAGUAUUGACAAGGAUACAUUUAGUGGAGUCUAUUAUAUAGAUUCCUUAUUGUUAAACGAUAAUAAUUUGCAAAAAGUUCAUGUUCAAGCAUUUUAUAGUCUCAGAAGUGGAAACCUAUUGGACUUAGGUGACAACAAACUGGAUGGAAUACCCACAAGUUAUUUUCAAAAAUUUAAGGAAGUUGUAGAAGAUUAAGAGUAAUUUAAUUGUAUUUUUCAUGUUUAUAAUAUUUGUAUGGAUUAUUAAAAUUUUGCUUUAGU
Long non-coding RNA from Anthonomus grandis grandis, 637 nucleotides. RefSeq lists it as uncharacterized. NCBI's taxonomy places the organism in Eukaryota, Metazoa, Arthropoda, Insecta, Coleoptera, Curculionidae. The transcript is spliced from 2 exons. The record is from RefSeq and is a predicted model, not a curated record.